Molecule: transfer RNA, 76 nt
Filed under: Rhodococcus sp. (in: high G+C Gram-positive bacteria)
Lineage: Bacteria; Bacillati; Actinomycetota; Actinomycetes; Mycobacteriales; Nocardiaceae
Description: tRNA-Lys
Rfam family: tRNA
About the family: Transfer RNA (tRNA) molecules are approximately 80 nucleotides in length.
Source: RNAcentral
GCCCCUAUAGCUCAGUUGGUAGAGCUACGGACCUUUAAUCCGCAGGUCGCAGGUUCGAGCCCUGCUGGGGGCACCA